RNAcentral lists this ribosomal RNA (253 nucleotides) under uncultured bacterium. Its description in RNAcentral is "partial 16S ribosomal RNA". It matches the Rfam family "Bacterial small subunit ribosomal RNA", at positions 524 to 776 of the family's 1533-position model. The record is from RNAcentral.
UACGUAGGGAGCGAGCGUUAUCCGGAUUUACUGGGUGUAAAGGGUGCGUAGGCGGCUAUGCAAGUCAGUAGUGAAAUCCAUGGGCUUAACCCAUGAACUGCUAUUGAAACUGCACAGCUUGAGUGAAGUAGAGGUAGGCGGAAUUCCCGGUGUAGCGGUGAAAUGCGUAGAGAUCAGGAGGAACACCAGUGGCGAAGGCGGCCUACUGGGCUUUAACUGACGCUGAGGCACGAAAGCGUGGGUAGCAAACAGG